GGAUGUGAGGGUAAUCUGGCUGUGACAUCUGUCACCCCACUGAUUGUCAGGGUUGAUUUGGCUGAUCUGGCUGGCUAGGUGGGUGUCUCCUUCCUCCCUUAUGGCUCCAUGUGUGUCCCUCCCAAAGCUAUGUGCUCAGUCAAAGAGGACAAUCUUCCCCAAAUAGGAACAGACUAGUCUUCAGUAGAGGGUAUAUGAGUAGUUGUGCUCCCCUGCUAGAACCUCCAAACAAGUUCUCAAGGGGUGUGUGGAUAGAGGCCACUGGCCAAAGCUGCUGUAUGCCUCCAUACCCCCUUGUCAUCCCACUUACCAGGGAGACUAGG
Erinaceus europaeus (western European hedgehog) is the source of this 323-nucleotide non-coding RNA. NCBI's taxonomy places the organism in Eukaryota, Metazoa, Chordata, Mammalia, Eulipotyphla, Erinaceidae. The record is from Rfam.